AUGCUUACCUGGCAGGGGAGAUACCAUGACCACGAAGGUGGUUUUCCCAGGGCGAGGCUUGCCCAUUGCACUCCGGAUGUGCUGACCCCUGCGGUUUCCCCAAAUGUGGGAAACUCGACUGCGUAAUUUGUGGUAGUGGGGGACUGUGUUCGCGCUCUCCCCUG
This is a small nuclear RNA of Echinops telfairi (small Madagascar hedgehog), 164 nucleotides long. Its record names the gene U1. It matches the Rfam family "U1 spliceosomal RNA". Rfam says of the family: U1 is a small nuclear RNA (snRNA) component of the spliceosome (involved in pre-mRNA splicing). Its 5' end forms complementary base pairs with the 5' splice junction, thus defining the 5' donor site of an intron. NCBI's taxonomy places the organism in Eukaryota, Metazoa, Chordata, Mammalia, Afrosoricida, Tenrecidae. The record is from Ensembl.